GUUUCUGUAGUGUAGUGGUUAUCACAUUCGCCUCACAUGCCACAAAGCAGGAGUUUGACUCUCUUCCCAAAAC
Non-coding RNA from Cnephaeus nilssonii (northern bat), 73 nucleotides. NCBI's taxonomy places the organism in Eukaryota, Metazoa, Chordata, Mammalia, Chiroptera, Vespertilionidae. The record is from the annotation of a GenBank genome assembly.